RNAcentral lists this ribosomal RNA (909 nucleotides) under Enterococcus faecium. RNAcentral describes it as "bacterial SSU rRNA". It matches the Rfam family "Bacterial small subunit ribosomal RNA", at positions 42 to 873 of the family's 1533-position model. Lineage: Bacteria; Bacillati; Bacillota; Bacilli; Lactobacillales; Enterococcaceae. The record is from RNAcentral.
GCGGCAUCUAUACAUGCAAGUCGAACGCUUCUUUUUCCACCGGAGCUUGCUCCACCGGAAAAAGAGGAGUCGGCGAACGGGUGAGUAACACGUGGGUAACCUCGCCCAUCAGAAGGGGAUAACACUUCGGAAACAGGUGCUAAUACCGUAUAACAAUCAAAACCGCAUGGUUUUGAUUUGAAAGGCGCUUUCGGGUGUCGCUGAUGGAUGGACCCGCGGUGCAUUAGCUAGUUGGUGAGGUAACGGCUCACCAAGGCCACGAUGCAUAGCCGACCUGAGAGGGUGAUCGGCCACAUUGGGACUGAGACACGGCCCAAACUCCUACGGGAGGCAGCAGUAGGGAAUCUUCGGCAAUGGACGAAAGUCUGACCGAGCAACGCCGCGUGAGUGAAGAAGGUUUUCGGAUCGUAAAACUCUGUUGUUAGAGAAGAACAAGGAUGAGAGUAACUGUUCAUCCCUUGACGGUAUCUAACCAGAAAGCCACGGCUAACUACGUGCCAGCAGCCGCGGUAAUACGUAGGUGGCAAGCGUUGUCCGGAUUUAUUGGGCGUAAAGCGAGCGCAGGCGGUUUCUUAAGUCUGAUGUGAAAGCCCCCGGCUCAACCGGGGAGGGUCAUUGGAAACUGGGAGACUUGAGUGCAGAAGAGGAGAGUGGAAUUCCAUGUGUAGCGGUGAAAUGCGUAGAUAUAUGGAGGAACACCAGUGGCGAAGGCGGCUCUCUGGUCUGUAACUGACGCUGAGGCUCGAAAGCGUGGGGAGCAAACAGGAUUAGAUACCCUGGUAGUCCACGCCGUAAACGAUGAGUGCUAAGUGUUGGAGGGUUUCCGCCCUUUCAGUGCUGCAGCUAACGCAUUAAGCACUCCGCCCUGGGGAGUACGACCCGCAAGGUGAUAGAGAAUACGGGGAGGAU